GAGUUUGAUUAUGGCUCAGAUUGAACGCUGGCGGCAGGCUUAACACAUGCAAGUCGAACGGUAGCAGGAGAAAGCUUGCUUUCUUGCUGACGAGUGGCGGACGGGUGAGUAAUGCUUGGGAAUCUGGCUUAUGGAGGGGGAUAACUACUGGAAACGGUAGCUAAUACCGCGUAAUAUCGAGAGAUUAAAGACUGGGACCUACGGGCCAGUUGCCAUAAGAUGAGCCCAAGUGGGAUUAGGUAGUUGGUGGGGUAAAGGCCUACCAAGCCCGCGAUCUCUAGCUGGUCUGAGAGGAUGACCAGCCACACUGGAACUGAGACACGGUCCAGACUCCUACGGGAGGCAGCAGUGGGGAAUAUUGCACAAUGGGGGGAACCCUGAUGCAGCCAUGCCGCGUGAAUGAAGAAGGCCUUCGGGUUGUAAAGUUCUUUCGGUGGUGAGGAAGGUGUCAACUUUAAUAGAGUUGGUAAAUGACGUAUUCCACAGAAGAG
RNAcentral lists this ribosomal RNA (491 nucleotides) under Pasteurellaceae bacterium canine oral taxon 080. Its description in RNAcentral is "bacterial SSU rRNA". It matches the Rfam family "Bacterial small subunit ribosomal RNA", at positions 9 to 489 of the family's 1533-position model. Lineage: Bacteria; Pseudomonadati; Pseudomonadota; Gammaproteobacteria; Pasteurellales; Pasteurellaceae. The record is from RNAcentral.